RNAcentral lists this long non-coding RNA (508 nucleotides) under Crocodylus porosus (Australian saltwater crocodile). RNAcentral describes it as "lncRNA (ENSCPRG00005002309.1)". The record is from RNAcentral. Lineage: Eukaryota; Metazoa; Chordata; Crocodylia; Crocodylidae.
ACCGUUGUCACUGCUGCGUGGGGUUUCCUCCUGUGUAUGCCUGUCUAUGCUUCAGGAAGGCAGGGUACAGUCAUACCCAGAAUCUUGUCUGUGUCCAUCCCAAAUCUACAGCUGGUCCUGUGGAUCAUGGUAGAAUCAUAGAAUCACAGAAAUCACUCAAAGCAGGACCAUCCCCAGGUAGAUCUAAGUACCAAAGCUUUGCAAAGCAGGCAUGAAAACCUUCCAAGGAUGGAGAUUCCACCACCUCGCCAGGUAACCUGUUCCAGUGCUUUACUACCCUCAGUGAGAGGUUUUUCCUGAUAUCUGACAUAAACUUCCCUUGCUGCAACUUGAGACCGUUCCUGCUCGUUCUGUCAUCUGCCACCACUGAGAACAGUCUAGCUCCAUCCUCUUUCCAACCUUCCAUCAGGUAGUUGAAGGCUGCUAUCAGAUCCCCCAUCAGCCUUCUCAUAAGCUUCCUUUUGUUUUUAAGCUCGCCAAAGAGUUCUCUGCUAAGCCAAGCUGGUUG